UAUAAGCCCGGGGCUCAACUUCGGGACGCACGGGAAACUGGGGAACUGGAGUGCAGGAGAGGAAAGUGGAAUUCCACGUGUAGCGGUGAAAUGCGUAGAGAUGUGGAGGAACACCAGUGGCGAAGGCGACUUUCUGGCCUGUAACUGACGCUGAGGCGCGAAAGCGUGGGGAGCAA
This 176-nucleotide ribosomal RNA is filed under the name uncultured bacterium. Its description in RNAcentral is "partial 16S ribosomal RNA". It matches the Rfam family "Bacterial small subunit ribosomal RNA", at positions 595 to 771 of the family's 1533-position model. The record is from RNAcentral.